UACGGAGGGUGCGAGCGUUAAUCGGAAUGACUGGGCGUAAAGGGUGCGUAGGUUGUUUUUUAAGUUAGCUGUGAAAUAACUGGGCUUAACCUGGUGAGGUCAGCUAAUACUGGAAGACUAGAGGACAGGAGAGGGUAGUGGAAUUUCCGGUGUAGCGGUGAAAUGCGUAGAGAUCGGAAGGAACACCGGUGGCGAAGGCGGCUACCUGGCCUGUAACUGACACUGAGGCACGAAAGCGUGGGGAGCAAACAGG
This 253-nucleotide ribosomal RNA is filed under the name uncultured bacterium. RNAcentral describes it as "partial 16S ribosomal RNA". It matches the Rfam family "Bacterial small subunit ribosomal RNA", at positions 524 to 776 of the family's 1533-position model. The record is from RNAcentral.